Molecule: ribosomal RNA, 453 nt
Filed under: uncultured bacterium
Lineage: Bacteria
Description: partial 16S ribosomal RNA
Rfam family: Bacterial small subunit ribosomal RNA
Source: RNAcentral
GAUGAACGCUGACAGAAUGCUUAACACAUGCAAGUCCACUUGAACUUCGGUUUGGGUGGCGGACGGGUGAGUAACGCGUAAAGAACUUGCCUCACAGAUAGGGACAACAUUUGGAAACGAAUGCUAAUACCUGAUAUUAUGAUUUUAGGGCAUCCUAGGAUUAUGAAAGCUAUAUGCGCUGUGAGAGAGCGUUGCGUCCCAUUAGCUAGUUGGAGAGGUAACGGCUCACCAAGGCGAUGAUGGGUAGCCGGCCUGAGAGGGUGAUCGGCCACAAGGGGACUGAGACACGGCCCUUACUCCUACGGGAGGCAGCAGUGGGGAAUAUUGGACAAUGGACCAAGAGUCUGAUCCAGCAAUUCUGUGUGCACGAUGAAGUUUUUCGGAAUGUAAAGUGCUUUCAGUUGGGAAGAAAAAAAUGACGGUACCAACAGAAGAAGGGACGGCUAAAUACGU